Molecule: long non-coding RNA, 220 nt
Organism: Etheostoma spectabile (orangethroat darter)
Lineage: Eukaryota; Metazoa; Chordata; Actinopteri; Perciformes; Percidae
Exons: 3
Source: RefSeq, a predicted model, not a curated record
UGCUGAAUGUCAGAACAUUGUGUCAAAUUGGUAAUUUACAGUGACUUAUAAAGUGUCAGGUUUAGUUCCAUCAUAACAGCAUUCCAAAAAACAUUAGCUGACGUUGUUGUUCAGUAGCUAGCUCAGAGAUUUUCAGAUAAUUAAAUUAUUGAUUUAGCAGGGGGGUUAACACUUUUGCCAGGCACUAUAUCAGUGUCACAUUCUCAUUAGGUAGGGGCUG